GUACUCACUUCGGCAGCACAUAUACUAAAAUUGGAAUAGUACAGAGUAGAUUGGGCAUGGCUCCUGUUUAAGGAUGACAUGCAAAUUCUUGAAGUGUUCCAUAUUUUU
This is a small nuclear RNA of Sorex fumeus (smoky shrew), 108 nucleotides long. NCBI's taxonomy places the organism in Eukaryota, Metazoa, Chordata, Mammalia, Eulipotyphla, Soricidae. The record is from RefSeq and is a predicted model, not a curated record.